AACGCGAAGAACCUUACCUGGGUUUGACAUGGCCGCAAAACUCGCAGAGAUGUGAGGUCCUUCGGGGGCGGUCACAGGUGGUGCAUGGCUGUCGUCAGCUCGUGUCGUGAGAUGUUAGGGUUAAGUCCCGCAACGAGCGCAACCCUCGUUCGAUGUUGCCAGCGCGUUAUGGCGGGGACUCAUCGAAGACUGCCGGGGUCAACUCGGAGGAAGGUGGGGAUGACGUCAAGUCAUCAUGCCCCUUAUGUCCAGGGCUUCACGCAUGCUACAAUGGCCGGUACAAUGGGCUGCGAUACCGUGAGGUGGAGCGAAUCCCAAAAAGCCGGUCUCAGUUCGGAUCGGGGUCUGCAACUCGACCCCGUGAAGUUCGGAGUC
RNAcentral lists this ribosomal RNA (375 nucleotides) under uncultured bacterium. RNAcentral's name for it is "bacterial SSU rRNA". It matches the Rfam family "Bacterial small subunit ribosomal RNA", at positions 958 to 1333 of the family's 1533-position model. The record is from RNAcentral.